This is a long non-coding RNA of Drosophila santomea, 735 nucleotides long. RefSeq lists it as uncharacterized. The transcript is spliced from 3 exons. NCBI's taxonomy places the organism in Eukaryota, Metazoa, Arthropoda, Insecta, Diptera, Drosophilidae. The record is from RefSeq and is a predicted model, not a curated record.
AAUUCUGAUUAUUCACAUCGAUUGGAAUUUGUGAAAUUUUCACGAAUUGACACUCUUAGCCACUUGGGUGGUUCCCGUUCUAAAUUUACGCACCUUGCUGUUGCAGCAGCAGUUGUUGCUGUUGCUGCUGCUGUUGUUGCUGUUGCCAUCGCCACAUUGCUGAUGCAGUGACAAGCCAAUUGAUUCGAUUGAAAUGCCAGCAAUUUAUUCACGAGUGCAGCUAAUGUGUGGUCUAAACAGUGGGAAAAAGAAGUCAAACUAAACAAAUAGAAAUGGCAAAUAAAAAAGAAUUAAUUAAUUAACCCCUCGGAUGACUUUUCAACUUGGCUGCUGCAUUUCUCGGCCUGCUCGUGUUAGCCAAAGGCACCUGUCCAGCGGUUUUUCCUCUUCGGUGGACGUCAUGCGGCUUUUCCAGCUAAAACGGCUACAGAUCGAUUGAGAAUUUUAUGGGGCGCGUGUUGUGUUGGGGCUGGUCAACGCAAAAAUGAAGAAAACGACAAAUUGAUAAAUGAUCGCUGAUGGGAAUUUAUGUGCAUUCUCGUGGAGCGGAAUUCACCUGUGCAGCUGGAUGUGGAAACGGUGGAAAACACAUGUCACUCGCUGAAUAUGAUGAACUCCCCUUGAUGGCUAUAAAUAGUCAACGACUCACACAAAUCGCCCUUGAUUAAUGCCGGCCAGUUAGUGCAAAAUUAGAUGAGAAAUUGUCAAAUGAAACAUUUAUGGCCACUAACCAAA